Long non-coding RNA from Polypterus senegalus (gray bichir), 628 nucleotides. RefSeq lists it as uncharacterized. The record is from RefSeq and is a predicted model, not a curated record. Lineage: Eukaryota; Metazoa; Chordata; Cladistia; Polypteriformes; Polypteridae. The transcript is spliced from 3 exons.
CGUCUUCUUGAACUCAUGAGAGCCGAGGGAUGAGUGGCUGGAAGUAAAAUAAGACCAGUCCUGGAUACUUUAAUGAGAACCUCAAUAUUGAAAGGAGAAGAGAUGGAGUUAUCCAGAGCUUAAUGGAGGACCUCAGAGAAAGUCAUGAGGACCUUCACCAAGACUGCCAGGAGGAUAAUCAAGAUAGAAACUCUGAGCAUCUCUUGAAGAUCCUUGUCGUCCACAGAGCCACUGCAGAGGACCAGUGGAGUUUAUUAUAAUUACUGAGGGCCGUAAAGUGCUGACUAACUGAGGAAGGAGAGCCAAGGCUGGCAUCCUAUUAAUGGGGUUUAUUUAAGCUUUAAAUGUAGUCUACCAAGAAAAGCUAAAGUAUACGUUUGAGUUUUUACAAAAGAUGUUCCUUCAGAUUGAUGGGAUAAACUGCUCAGAAACGUUCAGACACUAAAACACAAAUUGCUGGCUUGAAUGUAAUGACUCAAGUUAAUAAUGGAUAAUAGGCUCUUGUUACACUUUGUUAAAACAUCUUUGUGUCCUGAAAUAUUAAAACACCAGGUGAACUUUAGUUUUUAAAACAACAGCCUACCUCACUUCUAAUCUGUAAAUAUGGAUUAUGUUUAUUAUAACAUCU